UACAGAGGCCUCGAGCGUUAGGCGGAAUCACUGGGCUUAAAGCGUGUGUAGGCGGAUGUCUAAGUGCCUUGUGAAAUCCCACGGCUUAACCGUGGAACUGCUUGGCAUACUGGAUGUCUUGAGCCACUCAGGGGCGAGCGGAACAAAUGGUGGAGCGGUGAAAUGCGUAGAUAUCGAGAGGAACACCUGCGGCGAAGGCGGGUUGCUGGGCUGACACUGACGCUGAGGCGCGAAAGCCAGGGGAGCGAACGGG
This 253-nucleotide ribosomal RNA is filed under the name uncultured prokaryote. RNAcentral describes it as "partial 16S ribosomal RNA". It matches the Rfam family "Bacterial small subunit ribosomal RNA", at positions 524 to 776 of the family's 1533-position model. The record is from RNAcentral.